RNAcentral lists this ribosomal RNA (508 nucleotides) under uncultured bacterium. RNAcentral describes it as "bacterial SSU rRNA". It matches the Rfam family "Bacterial small subunit ribosomal RNA", at positions 28 to 529 of the family's 1533-position model. The record is from RNAcentral.
GAUGAACGCUAGUGGGAGGCUUAACACAUGCAAGUCGAGGGGCAGCAUAAGGUAGCAAUACUUUGAUGGCGACCGGCGCACGGGUGAGUAACGCGUAUGUAACCUGUCCUUAACAGGAGGAUAACCCGGAGAAAUUCGGACUAAUACUGCAUAAAAUUAUAAAUAGGCAUCUAUUAAUAAUUAAAGCUACGGCGGUUAGGGAGGGGCAUGCGUAACAUUAGCUGGUUGGUAGGGUAACGGCCUACCAAGGCAAUGAUGUUUAGGGGACCUGAGAGGGUGACCCCCCACACUGGUACUGAGACACGGACCAGACUCCUACGGGAGGCAGCAGUGAGGAAUAUUGGUCAAUGGGCGGCAGCCUGAACCAGCCAUCCCGCGUGAAGGAAGAAUGCGCUAUGCGUUGUAAACUUCUUUUUCAGGGGGAUAAAAUUCUGUAUGUAUACAGGACUGAAGGUACCCUGAGAAUAAGCAUCGGCUAACUCCGUGCCAGCAGCCGCGGUAAAACGUG